GACCGCGGAUGGAGGGCCGCUCUUCCCGCAAGGGAGGGGAGGAACUUCCGAACUUCACAGGGCAGGGUGCCGGUUCAAAGCCGUUAAGCGGCUAUAGGCCGGGAGGCGGGGGCCAGAUCCUCCGUCGACGGACAGCGCCACAGAGAACAUACCGCCCGCAAGGGUAAGGGUGAAAAGGUGCGGUAAGAGCGCACCGCCCGCCGGGCGACCGGCGGGGCAGGGCAAGCCCCUCCUGAAGCAAGGCCAAAGUUGCGCUACGGAUAGCCCGUCCAUUCCCGCCGCAAGGCGGGGAAGCGCAGAGUGGGCCGCAAUAGAUAAAUGGUCCUCCAGGCGCCGCAAGGCGCCGGACAGAAUUCGGGGUACAGUCCGCGGUCUAAA
RNAcentral lists this RNase P RNA (378 nucleotides) under Elusimicrobia bacterium RIFOXYA12_FULL_57_11. Its description in RNAcentral is "RNase P RNA component class A". It matches the Rfam family "Bacterial RNase P class A". Rfam says of the family: Ribonuclease P (RNase P) is a ubiquitous endoribonuclease, found in archaea, bacteria and eukarya as well as chloroplasts and mitochondria. Its best characterised activity is the generation of mature 5'-ends of tRNAs by cleaving the 5'-leader elements of precursor-tRNAs. The record is from RNAcentral. RNAcentral also lists the same sequence under 1 other name. Lineage: Bacteria; Pseudomonadati; Elusimicrobiota.